GAAAUGCGAUAAGUAAUGUGAAUUGCAGAAUUCAGUGAAUCAUCGAAUCUUUGAACGCAUCUUGCGCGCCUUGGUAUUCCUUGGAGCAUGCCUGUUUGAGUAUCAUGAAAUCUUCAAAGUAAAUCUUUUGUUAACUCAAUUGGUUUCUACUUUGGUAUUGGAGGUCUUUGCAGCUUCACACCUGCUCCUCUUUGUUCAUUAGCUGGAUCUCAGUGUUAUGCUUGGUUCCACUCGGCGUGAUAAGUUAUCUAUCGCUGAGGACACUGUAAAAGGUGGCCAAGGUAAAUGCAGAUGAACCGCUUCUAAUAGUCCAUUGACUUGGACAAUACUUUUAUGAUCUGAUCUCAAAUCAGGUAGGACUACCCGCUGAACUUAAGC
RNAcentral lists this unclassified non-coding RNA (378 nucleotides) under plant metagenome. RNAcentral's name for it is "partial contains 5.8S ribosomal RNA, internal transcribed spacer 2, and large subunit ribosomal RNA". The stretch from base 1 to 105 matches the Rfam family "5.8S ribosomal RNA", at positions 50 to 154 of the family's 154-position model. The record is from RNAcentral.